UCCCUGGAGGUCUAGUGGUUAGGCCACAGUGCUCUCCCUGCUGGAGCCUGGGUUCGAUUCCCAGCCUGGGAA
Molecule: transfer RNA, 72 nt
Filed under: Pangasianodon hypophthalmus (striped catfish)
Lineage: Eukaryota; Metazoa; Chordata; Actinopteri; Siluriformes; Pangasiidae
Description: tRNA-Glu
Rfam family: tRNA
About the family: Transfer RNA (tRNA) molecules are approximately 80 nucleotides in length. Their secondary structure includes four short double-helical elements and three loops (D, anti-codon, and T loops).
Source: RNAcentral